GGUGCAAUGAUGAGAUGAAAAAUCCUAAUAGUGUUUUGGGCAGUGGACGUAACCUACAAGUUGCGCCGUGAGCCUAUUUAACAAUGACUUCUCCUUCCACUGAGCACU
Molecule: small nucleolar RNA, 108 nt
Organism: Cicer arietinum (chickpea)
Lineage: Eukaryota; Viridiplantae; Streptophyta; Magnoliopsida; Fabales; Fabaceae
Product: small nucleolar RNA Z152/R70/R12
Source: RefSeq, a predicted model, not a curated record